UUCCUGGUGGUCUAAUGGCUAAGACUCUGCACUCCCAAUGCAGGAGGCCCAGGUUCGAUCCCAUGUCAGGGAA
RNAcentral lists this transfer RNA (73 nucleotides) under Bos taurus (domestic cattle). It matches the Rfam family "tRNA". From Rfam's summary of the family: Transfer RNA (tRNA) molecules are approximately 80 nucleotides in length. Their secondary structure includes four short double-helical elements and three loops (D, anti-codon, and T loops). The record is from Rfam by way of RNAcentral. Lineage: Eukaryota; Metazoa; Chordata; Mammalia; Artiodactyla; Bovidae.